UACGGGGGGGGCAAGCGUUGUUCGGAAUUACUGGGCGUAAAGGGCUCGUAGGCGGCCAACUAAGUCAGACGUGAAAUCCCUCAGCUUAACUGGGGAACUGCGUCUGAUACUGGAUGGCUUGGAUUCGGGAGAGGGAUGCGGAAUUCCAGGUGUAGCGGUGAAAUGCGUAGAUAUCGUGAGGAAGACCAGUGGCGAAGGCGGGUCUCUGGACAGUUCCUGACGCUGAGGCGCGAAGGCCAGGGGAGCAAACGGG
This 253-nucleotide ribosomal RNA is filed under the name uncultured bacterium. RNAcentral's name for it is "partial 16S ribosomal RNA". It matches the Rfam family "Bacterial small subunit ribosomal RNA", at positions 524 to 776 of the family's 1533-position model. The record is from RNAcentral.